UUCGCAAUGCCCGAAAGGGUGACGAAGCGACGCCGCGUGUGGGAAGAAGGCCUUCGGGUUGUAAACCACUGUCAGGAGUUAGGAAAUGCAAGGGUGUUAAUAGCGCCUUUGCUUGACUAAGGCUCCAGAGGAAGCCACGGCUAACUCUGUGCCAGCAGCCGCGGUAAUACAGAGGCGGCAAGCGUUGUUCGGAAUUAUUGGGCGUAAAGAGCACGUAGGCGGCCUUGCGAGUCGGUUGUGAAAGCCUUCCGCUCAACGGAAGAAUGCCAGCUGAUACUACAGGGCUUGAGUACGGGAGGGGAGAGUGGAACUUCUGGUGGAGCGGUGAAAUGCGUAGAUAUCAGAAGGAACGCCGGCGGCGAAAGCGACUCUCUGGCCCGAAACUGACGCUGAGUGUGCGAAAGCUAGGGGAGCAAACGGGAUUAGAUACCCCGGUAGUCCUAGCCGUAAACGAUGGGCACUAAGUAGAGGGGUUUU
This 477-nucleotide ribosomal RNA is filed under the name uncultured anaerobic ammonium-oxidizing bacterium. Its description in RNAcentral is "bacterial SSU rRNA". It matches the Rfam family "Bacterial small subunit ribosomal RNA", at positions 365 to 832 of the family's 1533-position model. The record is from RNAcentral.